Non-coding RNA from Leptonychotes weddellii (Weddell seal), 705 nucleotides. Lineage: Eukaryota; Metazoa; Chordata; Mammalia; Carnivora; Phocidae. The record is from RefSeq and is a predicted model, not a curated record.
GAGUGGAACCGUUCAGGGAAUGCGUGGUGGAGCGUCUGGCAUGUCAGGCAAUUGGAUGGUGCUCAUGACACCGAUGCACCUCAAGGACAACCCUUCUCUCUGUCUCUGCUUCUCUGUCUCCUUGUGUCUGUUUCUGGGUGGCAGUCUCCCUCCAUAUCUCAUCUCUCAGUAUUCCUGUUUCUGUAGUUAUAUGGCCCUGUCUCUAUCACCGCCGUGCAGUCUCUCCUUGCAUUGGAGUCACCUUUCCAAACACAGGCAGCCUAGAGUCAUGUCCAUCUGUAGCCAAGUGUAUUGUGUGUGAUGUUGCCCCCGACCUAGAAGAGUCCCAUCACUUCUUUUGGGGGCACCUCCCUCCAAGGGCCAGGAGGGCCACGCCCUGUGCAGCUAAGGCGACUGGGAGUUCUGGGGCUCUGCCUGCGCUUGGUUUCCACCAGCCCACAAGCAACAGCAUGGCAGCCAUCCCCUCCAUCCGCUCGCUCCAGACCACACAUGGCCAUUACCGGCACUGUCUGGGUUCCAUUUCCAGUAACAGCUCCUGCAGAAGUGCAGAGUAUCCUGGGGAAGCCAUCGCUCACCACCCAGCUUCUUUUUCAGGAAGUCCACUCUCCUGUUCAUGACUACAGUGUUGGGAGUCCCCAGAACCCUCAGGAUCUCUCCAGGCCUCCAGCGGCCGGAUCACCUAUGACUUCGCUCUGGAAGCUGUGA